RNAcentral lists this transfer RNA (82 nucleotides) under Lepisosteus oculatus (spotted gar). It matches the Rfam family "tRNA". From Rfam's summary of the family: Transfer RNA (tRNA) molecules are approximately 80 nucleotides in length. Their secondary structure includes four short double-helical elements and three loops (D, anti-codon, and T loops). The record is from Rfam by way of RNAcentral. Lineage: Eukaryota; Metazoa; Chordata; Actinopteri; Semionotiformes; Lepisosteidae.
GUCAGGAUGGCCGAGUCGUCUAAGGGCUGCGUUCGGGUUGCAGUCUCCCCUGGAGGUGUGGGUUCGAAACCCACUCCUGACA